RNAcentral lists this ribosomal RNA (197 nucleotides) under uncultured bacterium. RNAcentral's name for it is "partial 16S ribosomal RNA". It matches the Rfam family "Bacterial small subunit ribosomal RNA", at positions 335 to 524 of the family's 1533-position model. The record is from RNAcentral.
ACUCCUACGGGAGGCAGCAGUGGGGAAUAUUGGACAAUGGGGGCAACCCUGAUCCAGCAAUGCCGCGUGUGUGAAGAAGGCCUGCGGGUUGUAAAGCACUUUUAUCGGGGAAGAAUAGGUUGUCGUUAAUAGCGCCAACACUUGACAUUACCCGUUGAAUAAGCACCGGCUAACUCCGUGCCAGCAGCCGCGGUAAU